AGGGAUGUAGCUCAAUUGGUAGAGUAUCGGUCUCCAAAACCGAAUGUUGGGGGUUCAAUUCCCUCCAUCCCUG
Molecule: transfer RNA, 73 nt
Organism: Buchnera aphidicola str. Bp (Baizongia pistaciae)
Lineage: Bacteria; Pseudomonadati; Pseudomonadota; Gammaproteobacteria; Enterobacterales; Erwiniaceae
Rfam family: tRNA
About the family: Transfer RNA (tRNA) molecules are approximately 80 nucleotides in length. Their secondary structure includes four short double-helical elements and three loops (D, anti-codon, and T loops).
Source: Rfam